UCUCCACCCGAGACUCAGUGAAAUUGAACUCGCUGUGAAGAUGCAGUGUACCCGCGGCAAGACGGAAAGACCCCGUGAACCUUUACUAUAGCUUGACACUGAACAUUGAGCCUUGAUGUGUAGGAUAGGUGGGAGGCUUUGAAGUGUGGACGCCAGUCUGCAUGGAGCCGACCUUGAAAUACCACCCUUUAAUGUUUGAUGUUCUAACGUGGACCCGUAAUCCGGGUUGCGGACAGUGUCUGGUGGGUAGUUUGACUGGGGCGGUCUCCUCCUAAAGAGUAACGGAGGAGCACGAAGGUUGGCUAAUCCUGGUCGGACAUCAGGAGGUUAGUGCAAUGGCAUAAGCCAGCUUGACUGCGAGCGUGACGGCGCGAGCAGGUGCGAAAGCAGGUCAUAGUGAUCCGGUGGUUCUGAAUGGAAGGGCCAUCGCUCAACGGAUAAAAGGUACUCCGGGGAUAACAGGCUGAUACCGCCCAAGAGUUCAUAUCGACGGCGGUGUUUGGCACCUCGAUGUCGGCUCAUCACAUCCUGGGGCUGAAGUAGGUCCCAAGGGUAUGGCUGUUCGCCAUUUAAAGUGGUACGCGAGCUGGGUUUAGAACGUCGUGAGACAGUUCGGUCCCUAUCUGCCGUGGGCGCUGGAGAAUUGAGGGGGGCUGCUCCUAGUACGAGAGGACCGGAGUGGACGCAUCACUGGUGUUCGGGUUGUCAUGCCAAUGGCACUGCCCGGUAGCUAAAUGCGGAAGAGAUAAGUGCUGAAAGCAUCUAAGCACGAAACUUGCCCCGAGAUGAGUUCUCCCUGACUCCUUGAGAGUCCUGAAGGAACGUUGAAGACGACGACGUUGAUAGGCCGGGUGUGUAAGCGCAGCGAUGCGUUGAGCUAACCGGUACUAAUGAACCGUGAGGCUUAACCUUACAACGCCGAAG
Molecule: ribosomal RNA, 924 nt
Filed under: Escherichia coli
Lineage: Bacteria; Pseudomonadati; Pseudomonadota; Gammaproteobacteria; Enterobacterales; Enterobacteriaceae
Description: partial 23S ribosomal RNA
Rfam family: Bacterial large subunit ribosomal RNA
Source: RNAcentral